CGGAAUUGAUUGGUAUCACUACCAGAAAGCAAAGCCAGUGGUGCCUCAGCAAGCAUGUUCUGAAGGUGACCGUGUCAAGAUUUUGCUUGAAGUGAUACAUUUGUCAGUUGCAUUGUGCCAACGUUUUCGAGGCAUGGAUUCAUUUAUAUGAUUUCGAUGGGCUUUUGUUUUGGUGAGUGCAAUGGAGUUGGUAUCGCUACCAGAAGCAAAACCAGUGGUGGCUCAGCUUGGGUUGGAGAUGAAUGCUGUGUGGAGAAGAAGAACAAGUAUGGAAGAGUUGAUUUUGAGGUGGCACUGUAGCAGUAAUGGUGGUGGGGAAGUAGUAGCAAGUGUUUGCAAUAAUUAAACUAGUGAUUUUUUGUUACAAGAAUCAUGUGUCACUCCACUAGAUUAUCUUUUGAGACUUUUUUCUUUUCUUUUUUAAUCCAUGUGUAUUGCAAAUUUGUGCUCCUUUGAAGUUAUUGAGAAUUUGACCUCAUUGAAAUAUUUA
This is a long non-coding RNA of Ipomoea triloba (trilobed morning glory), 490 nucleotides long. RefSeq lists it as uncharacterized. The transcript has 2 exons. The record is from RefSeq and is a predicted model, not a curated record. Lineage: Eukaryota; Viridiplantae; Streptophyta; Magnoliopsida; Solanales; Convolvulaceae.